Molecule: transfer RNA, 73 nt
Filed under: Elusimicrobiota bacterium
Lineage: Bacteria; Pseudomonadati; Elusimicrobiota
Description: Elusimicrobia bacterium (groundwater metagenome) tRNA-Pro
Rfam family: tRNA
About the family: Transfer RNA (tRNA) molecules are approximately 80 nucleotides in length. Their secondary structure includes four short double-helical elements and three loops (D, anti-codon, and T loops).
Source: RNAcentral
CGGGGAGUAGCUCAGCUGGCAGAGCGCACGGUUCGGGACCGUGAGGCCGUGGGUUCAAAUCCCACCUCCCCGA